RNAcentral lists this long non-coding RNA (2060 nucleotides) under Gallus gallus (chicken). Its description in RNAcentral is "lncRNA (ENSGALG00010004051.1)". Lineage: Eukaryota; Metazoa; Chordata; Aves; Galliformes; Phasianidae. The record is from RNAcentral.
CAUGAAAUGGUGGGGGAAGAUGAGAGAUCUGGGACCUAAUUUGAGUAGAUCUUCUACAGCUAUUCAGAUGUCACUGCAGACGUUGGAGACUGAAACCAAGGGCUUUAAAGGUCAUGGGAUUCAUUUGCAUUCAAUUGGACUAAGCAGAAGCUCAUCAUAAAUUUGUGCAGCAAGAGAGCAGUGCAUGACUGGACAUGCAGCCCCGCAUUUUGCACAUAAAAGAAAAAACUCUGCAGAGGUAGUGGUUUCCAUCACCAAUUCAACGUCUGUUUUUCUCUCAGGUACAUCAAAAAUGUAGAUAAGCUCAACACUAGAUACUUACUAUGAAGAUACUUACUAUGAAGAUGAAGAGGUAUCUGGUGUUGCAUGUCCCCAGGCCCAGAUCAGAAAUAAUAUAAAUAAAAAAUUUUACUAGUUUCCUGACUUUCCAAUAAUAUUUAAAAAUUCAUAAGUUUAUGAAGAAAAAUCUAUCAGCAGUUCUAUGAAUAGUUGGUGAAAUGAACCCAAUGUAACAGACGACAAAAUAGACUCCUAUUACAGAUGUAAGGCUACCAAAUGGUUGAGUAAACUGACUUGGACAUCUGUGUUUGUAGAGUGCAGGGUCAAAGAUGGAUCUGAUGAUGACACUUCAGAAUUGAAAUUAAAAUAUUAAAAUAGGCAUUUGUUAUUAAUUCUAAUGUGUACAAAAGGAACUGACUCCAAUAAACUGUUACGCUAUUGUUUGUCAUCUACCACAAUGUCAAGAAUGUGUCUGGGACACAGACCAAAAAGUCAGAGAAGAUGCUUAACUGAGAAAGCUCUGGGACAAAACUGUAUUUUUAAAGUUCAUAAUCUUCUCACAAGACAGAAAAAUGGAUGGACUCCUCAAAUAAUGAAAUAUCUACUUGUUCAGACUGAUUAGUUAAAUUUGAAGGCACUUCAAAAUUACUGGGUUUUUUUGGCCAAUUUUCCAGCAUUUAGCCAAAUAACAGGAUAUCUAUUGAAAAAAAAAAACAAAAACGCUGAUGUUGAGAAUUUAACUAACUUUGCAAACAGAAGAUGAAGACGGUGUUUGUGAUGUGUUAGCAGAAACCAACAUAGCAAAGAAUGCAGUAUGCAGUCAUCAUGUAAUAUGUACUACAUUAAUUUGCCAUCACCAGAAAAUGACCUGCAUAGCUGACACCACUUCUUCGGUUACCAAGAUUUACAAGUUUUAAUAGAGUUCACAGAUAGUAUGUGCCAGAUAAAAGGCCUGGCAAAAUGGGAAUUUUUUGUUAUCCUUGGCUGGAAUAUUGCUCUGUCUAUAAGGCACAGAACUGGGACUGAAGCAAUGGAUUAAUUUUCACCCUCUCUUAUGUUCACCGUAAUAGUUAAAGGGAGACUUUAUACUCUCCUUGGGCUUGUUUUCUCAUUUAUGACAUGAGAAAAAAUAUUCUAAUACUACCAGGACUGACAGGAGGUUAAACCAAUAUUGGUAAAGAAGAUUGAGUUGCAAAAGGUAAAUGCAGUGUAUUACUAUCAUUCCACAAACAGAAAAUCUUCAGAGCUAUGAAAUAUUUUUGCAUGCUCCUCUCUCUCACAUCCUGCCAAGCCAUACUUCCUGACAUUGUUAGAUUUCCAGUGUUGAAGAAUACUCCUUCACUCCUCAGUGAGGUGAGCUCAAGGAGCAAGGGCUGGAAGUAGUUUUAUGAUCUUAUAAGAAAAUUUAUGGAAAAUCCUUCUCCUAGAGCUCCAAGGAAUUGUAGAAAAUAAUAUAAUCUUGCUAGCCUGGAUAUUCUACUGAUAUAAAAUAAAUUCUGUUUUUAAUAAUUUAUUUUUAAUGUAGUCAUCUAAGUAUACACACAUUCCUCCCCAGUCAAGAAGUUUCUAAACCUAGGAGAUAAGACAAAGAAGAAUCAAUCUAUACUUAGUUUGUUUUCUUUCAGAGCUCUUUUGUUGAGCAUUUCCCAUGUUGGUCUAUAUUAAAAAACUGAGCUAGUUGAAGCUAAAAGAUCUCCCAGAGUUCAGGGAGGGGAAAAAAAUAAAUUUUGAGCCAAACAAAUUUGGAAAUCAACAAAUUUAAAAAAUAAGAGAAAAUCCUG